UCAGGACGGACGCUGGCGGCGUGCUUAACACAUGCAAGUCGAACGGAAAGGCCUAGCUUGCUAGGUACUCGAGUGGCGAACGGGUGAGUAACACGUGGGUGAUCUGCCUCGUACUUCGGGAUAAGCCUGGGAAACUGGGUCUAAUACUGGAUAGGACCAUGCUUUAGUGUGUGUGGUGGAAAGUUUUUCGGUACGAGAUGAGCCCGCGGCCUAUCAGCUUGUUGGUGGGGUAAUGGCCUACCAAGGCGUCGACGGGUAGCCGGCCUGAGAGGGUGGACGGCCACAUUGGGACUGAGAUACGGCCCAGACUCCUACGGGAGGCAGCAGUGGGGAAUAUUGCACAAUGGGCGCAAGCCUGAUGCAGCGACGCCGCGUGGGGGAUGACGGCCUUCGGGUUGUAAACCUCUUUCGCUAGGGACGAAGCUUUUGUGACGGUACCUAGAUAAGAAGCACCGGCUAACUACGUGCCAGCAGCCGCGGUAAUACGUAGGGUGCGAGCGUUGUCCGGAAUUACUGGGCGUAAAGAGCUCGUAGGUGGUUUGUCGCGUCGUCUGUGAAAU
This 560-nucleotide ribosomal RNA is filed under the name Corynebacterium striatum. RNAcentral's name for it is "bacterial SSU rRNA". It matches the Rfam family "Bacterial small subunit ribosomal RNA", at positions 24 to 600 of the family's 1533-position model. The record is from RNAcentral. Lineage: Bacteria; Bacillati; Actinomycetota; Actinomycetes; Mycobacteriales; Corynebacteriaceae.